AGGGAAUAUUGCACAAUGAGCGAAAGCUUGAUGCAGCAACGCCGCGUGCGCGAUGACGGCCCUCGGGUUGUAAAGCGCUUUUCGGGGAGAUGAGGAAGGACAGUAUCCCCGGAAUAAGUCUCGGCUAACUACGUGCCAGCAGCCGCGGUAACACGUAGGAGGCAAGCGUUAUCCGAAUUUACUGGGCGUAAAGCGCGUGCAGGCGGUUCGGUAAGUUGGAUGUGAAAUCUCCCGGCUCAACUGGGAGGGGACGUUCAAUACUGUCGGACUUGAGGACGAUAGAGGGAGGUGGAAUUCCCGGUGUAGUGGUGAAAUGCGUAGAUAUCGGGAGGAACACCAGUGGCGAAAGCGGCCUCCUGGAUCGUUCCUGACGCUCAGACGCGAAAGCUAGGGGAGCGAACGG
Molecule: ribosomal RNA, 403 nt
Filed under: uncultured bacterium
Lineage: Bacteria
Description: bacterial SSU rRNA
Rfam family: Bacterial small subunit ribosomal RNA
Source: RNAcentral